Molecule: transfer RNA, 57 nt
Filed under: Gnathostoma spinigerum
Lineage: Eukaryota; Metazoa; Nematoda; Chromadorea; Rhabditida; Gnathostomatidae
Description: tRNA-Asn
Source: RNAcentral
UAAGAAUUAUUUUAAUUGAAGAAUUUUUGAUUGUUGGUCAAAAGGUGUAUUUCUUAG